UCCCCAAAGCAAAAGGCAGGAUAACCGCCAACGGGCAUGUGCGCGGUGAAUCUUCCAAUAUGCGCUCCGUUUGCCGCUAAAGGACAGCAGCAGCACCCAAACUGCAUGUCGCGGCCGGUACGAACAUCCGCCUGGAGACAGCCUCUAAGAAGAAACGUCGCGUUCGGUCGUUAGCGAACGGUCGGUGACUCAUUGAGUACUUGUAUGUUGCCACGGAUGGUGUCAUAUGACGGAAGGGGUUCAAAACGGCCUUGACCCCGUCGGCUCAUCAAACGUUCCUGCAAUGCUGUCGUCAUGAUGCAUUCAGGCUGAUUUGUAAGGACCCAGGACACAACUCGUUGCUCGUUGGCUGCUGCCACAAGGACGUGGAUACGCGGUGGCAGCUGUUGAUGGCUUU
RNAcentral lists this long non-coding RNA (397 nucleotides) under Volvox carteri. Its description in RNAcentral is "long non-coding RNA (VCAR_LNC000645)". Lineage: Eukaryota; Viridiplantae; Chlorophyta; Chlorophyceae; Chlamydomonadales; Volvocaceae. The record is from RNAcentral.